This is a long non-coding RNA of Cyprinus carpio carpio, 1394 nucleotides long. The record is from Ensembl. Lineage: Eukaryota; Metazoa; Chordata; Actinopteri; Cypriniformes; Cyprinidae.
CCUUGCCCUUAUUUGGUCCUUCCUGUUCCUGUCCCCAUUUAGUUAUAUUAGUUCCAGAUGCUCCUUGUUAUUAGUUAUCCUCCUCAGCUGUCUGCCCCUCGUUAUAUGCCCUAUUUGAGUUCUUGCCCAUUCUGUUCUCUCUUGUCCGUAAUUAUCGCAACCUUUGAUACGUGUUUUCCUUGUUCCCUGGAAGCGGGUUUUUAAGUGUUUUUGCUUUCCCAUUUGUUUCUCCCCGUGGUAUGGAUGUUGCGAUUUGCUCAAGCCUACCGGCCUGUGUUCAUUCAAGCCUGAUGGCCAUGGCUCACUCAGGCCCGUUCCCGAGUCAGGCCCGCCGGCCGCGCCAUUGUUAUGCCCGCCAGCCGCCUAGUUCACCUGUAAUCAGAAGAGGAGAAAUGACUGGCUCAGGGCCCUCUUCCUCACCCGAGAGCACGCCCCAGAGCUCGCUCCAGUGUCGGCUCCAGCCCCAGAGCUCACUCCAGUGUCGGUUCCAGCCCCCGAAUCUAGCCCAGUGAGGGCUCCUGUUCCCGAGUUUAGCCCAUGGAGGGCUCCUGUUCCUGAUUUUAGCUCACGAAGCCCUCCUGUUCCAGAGUUAACCCCUCGGAGAGCUCCUGUUCCUGUGUUUAGCCCAUGGAGGGCCUCUGAGCCCGUAAUGUUCCCCAAGUAUUUUUUUUUUGGGGGGGGGGGUAGUAGGGCUCCAGCCAUAGAGGCGGUGGCCUUGGAGGCUGCUCUACCAUGACCUUCUGACCUGCUUGCUCCGCCAUGGCUUCCUGAGUCCCCUGAUCCACCAUGGCCUCCCAAACUGUCUGAUCUGCCAUGGCCUUCUGAGUUCCCCGCUCUGCCAUGACUCCCUGAGCUGCUUACUCCACCAUGGCACCCCAAACAGGUAUCGCUGUCCCGUGUCUGUCCUGAGGGACCUCCAGAGUGCCCACUCCCCCUACCUGUUGGAUUUUGUGUGGGGAGGGGGGAGUAAUGUCAGACUCUGUUCCUUGUUUUGUGUGUUUUGCUCCCUAUGUGCUUCCUUGCCCUUAUUUGGUCCUUCCUGUUCCUGUCCCCAUUUAGUUCUAUUAGUUCCAGAUAUUCCUUGUUAUUAGUUAUCAUCCUCAGCUGUCUGCCCUAUUUGAGUUCUUGCCCGUUCUGUUCUCCAUUGUGCGGAAUUGUUUGUCAACCCUUGCUACAUGUGUUUUCCUUGUUCCCUGGAAGUUAUUAAAGCCUAUAUGUUUGAAUUCCUCUCCUUGCUCCUUCGUCUCCAUGUUCCUCACAGUAGCAAACAGUGACCCUUUCAUGCUUGCACCUAUUAUUUGCAGUAUAUUUAUGUAGAAAUAACAUUAUCCACAUUUGCAAAAACUGUGGCUUUAGGUAAAUGAAUCCCAAAUCACCCAACAACAUGAAAAAAU